RNAcentral lists this ribosomal RNA (513 nucleotides) under uncultured bacterium. RNAcentral's name for it is "partial 16S ribosomal RNA". It matches the Rfam family "Bacterial small subunit ribosomal RNA", at positions 29 to 523 of the family's 1533-position model. The record is from RNAcentral.
AACGAACGCUGGCGGCGUGCCUAAUACAUGCAAGUCGAACGCACAGCGAAAGGUGCUUGCGCCUUUCAAGUGAGUGGCGAACGGGUGAGUAACACGUGGACAACCUGCCUCAAGGCUGGGGAUAACAUUUGGAAACAGAUGCUAAUACCGAAUAAAACUUAGUGUCGCAUGACACAAAGUUAAAAGGCGCUUUGGCGUCACCUAGAGAUGGAUCCGCGGUGCAUUAGUUAGUUGGUGGGGUAAAGGCCUACCAAGACAAUGAUGCAUAGCCGAGGUGAGAGACUGAUCGGCCACAUAGGGACUUAGACACGGCCCAAACUCCUACGGGAGGCUGCAGUAGGGAAUCUUCCGCAAUGGGCGAAAGCCUGAUGGGGCAACGCCGCGUGUGGGAUGAAGGCUUUCGGGUCGUAAAGCACUGUUGUAUGGAAAGAACAGCUAGAAUAGGGAAUGAUUUUAGUUUGACGGUACCAUACCAGAAAGGGACGGCUAAAUACGUGCCAGCCGCCGCCGUAA